GACGAACGCUGGCGGCGUGCUUAACACAUGCAAGUCGAACGGAAAGGCCCUGCUUUUGUGGGGUGCUCGAGUGGCGAACGGGUGAGUAACACGUGAGUAACCUGCCCUUGACUUUGGGAUAACUUCAGGAAACUGGGGCUAAUACCGGAUAGGAGCUCCUGCUGCAUGGUGGGGGUUGGAAAGUUUCGGCGGUUGGGGAUGGACUCGCGGCUUAUCAGCUUGUUGGUGGGGUAGUGGCUUACCAAGGCUUUGACGGGUAGCCGGCCUGAGAGGGUGACCGGACACAUUGGGACUGAGAUACGGGCCAGACUUCUACGGGAGGCAGCAGUGGGGAAUAUUGCACAAUGGGCGGAAGCCUGAUGCAGCAACGCCGCGUGCGGGAUGACGGCCUUCGGGUUGUAAACCGCUUUCGCCUGUGACGAAGCGUGAGUGACGGUAAUGGGUAAAGAAGCACCGGCUAACUACGUG
This 468-nucleotide ribosomal RNA is filed under the name uncultured bacterium. Its description in RNAcentral is "partial 16S ribosomal RNA". It matches the Rfam family "Bacterial small subunit ribosomal RNA", at positions 28 to 507 of the family's 1533-position model. The record is from RNAcentral.